ACUAAACAGGAUUCUCUAGUAACUGGAGUGAAAAGAGAUUAGCCCAGCAUCGAAGCUCCCAUGCUCUUGUGUGGCGUGCAAUGUGAUGUGAAGGUGUGCGAACUCAUAGGCUGACUAACUUGAAGUCCAUUUUGACUGUGGCUUAAAUGUGUAUACCCAGAGAUGGUGAAAGGCCCGUUCAUGUUGGUUUUCAGACUUGACAGCUCUGUGUUUAAUCGUUCACCAUGGAGUCGGAUUGCUUGAAAGUGCAUUCCAAAUUUGGUGGUAAACUCCAUCUAAGGCUAAAUACCUGUACGAGUCCGAUAGUCGACAAGUACCGUGAGGGAAAGUUGAAAAGUACUCUGAAGAGAGAGUAAACAGUACGUGAAACUACUUGGAGGUUAAUCAGAUGGAGUCAAGCUGCGU
This 405-nucleotide ribosomal RNA is filed under the name Interniloculus chilensis. RNAcentral describes it as "eukaryotic LSU rRNA". It matches the Rfam family "Eukaryotic large subunit ribosomal RNA", at positions 64 to 439 of the family's 3401-position model. Lineage: Eukaryota; Metazoa; Platyhelminthes; Monogenea; Capsalidea; Capsalidae. The record is from RNAcentral.